This 495-nucleotide ribosomal RNA is filed under the name uncultured bacterium. RNAcentral's name for it is "partial 16S ribosomal RNA". It matches the Rfam family "Bacterial small subunit ribosomal RNA", at positions 28 to 507 of the family's 1533-position model. The record is from RNAcentral.
GACGAACGCUGGCGGCGUGCCUAAUACAUGCAAGUAGAACGCUGAAGGAGGAGCUUGCUUCUCUGGAUGAGUUGCGAACGGGUGAGUAACGCGUAGGUAACCUGCCUGGUAGCGGGGGAUAACUAUUGGAAACGAUAGCUAAUACCGCAUAAUAGCAGUUGUUGCAUGACAACUGUUUGAAAGGUGCAAUUGCACCACUACCAGAUGGACCUGCGUUGUAUUAGCUAGUUGGUGGGGUAACGGCUCACCAAGGCGACGAUACAUAGCCGACCUGAGAGGGUGAUCGGCCGCACUGGGACUGAGACACGGCCCAGACUCCUACGGGAGGCAGCAGUAGGGAAUCUUCGGCAAUGGACGGAAGUCUGACCGAGCAACGCCGCGUGAGUGAAGAAGGUUUUCGGAUCGUAAAGCUCUGUUGUAAGAGAAGAACGAGUGUGAGAGUGGAAAGUUCACACUGUGACGGUAUCUUACCAGAAAGGGACGGCUAACUACGUG